RNAcentral lists this ribosomal RNA (431 nucleotides) under uncultured Propionibacterium sp. RNAcentral's name for it is "bacterial SSU rRNA". It matches the Rfam family "Bacterial small subunit ribosomal RNA", at positions 354 to 796 of the family's 1533-position model. The record is from RNAcentral. Lineage: Bacteria; Bacillati; Actinomycetota; Actinomycetes; Propionibacteriales; Propionibacteriaceae.
GUGGGGAAUAUUGCACAAUGGGUGGAAGCCUGAUGCAGCAACGCCGUGUGCGGGAUGACGGCCUUCGGGUUGUAAACCGCUUUCGCUCAUGACGAAGCUUUGUGUGACGGUAGUGGGUAAAGAAGCACCGGCUAACUACGUGCCAGCAGCCGCGGUGAUACGUAGGGUGCGAGCGUUGUCCGGAUUUAUUGGGCGUAAAGGGCUCGUAGGUGGUUGAUCGCGUCGGAAGUGUAAUCUUGGGGCUUAACCCUGAGCGUGCUUUUGAUACGGGUUGACUUGAGGAAGGUAGGGGAGAAUGGAAUUCCUGGUGGAGCGGUGGAAUGCGCAGAUAUCAGGAGGAACACCGGUGGCGAAGGCGGUUCUCUGGGCCUUUCCUGACGCUGAGGAGCGAAAGCGUGGGGAGCGAACAGGCUUAGAAACCCGUGUAGUCC